This 485-nucleotide ribosomal RNA is filed under the name uncultured bacterium. RNAcentral describes it as "partial 16S ribosomal RNA". It matches the Rfam family "Bacterial small subunit ribosomal RNA", at positions 29 to 523 of the family's 1533-position model. The record is from RNAcentral.
AGUGAACGCUGGCGGCGUGCUUAACACAUGCAAGUCGAACGAGAACGGAAUAUAGCUUGCUAUAUUUGUCAGCUAAGUGGCGCACGGGUGAGUAAUGUAUAGAUAACCUGCCCUUAAGAAAGGAAUAACAGUUGGAAACGACUGCUAAUGCCCUAUAUGCCUUUAAUACAUAAGUAUGCAAGGGAAACGCUUUAGUGCUUAAGGAUGGGUCUGUAUGGUAUCAGCUUGUUGGUGAGGUAAUGGCUCACCAAGGAUAUGACGCCUAACUGGUUUGAGAGGAUGAUCAGGCACACUGGAACUCAGACACGGUCCAGACUCCUACGGGAGGCAGCGGUGGGGAAUAUUGCACAAUGGACGAAACUCUGAUGCAGCAACGCCGCGUGGAGGAUGACACAUUUCGGUGCGUAAACUCCUUUUAUAUAGGAAGAUAAUGACGGUACUAUAUGAAUAAGCACCGGCUAACUCCGUGCCAGCAGCCGCGGUAA